Molecule: transfer RNA, 65 nt
Filed under: Scirtothrips dorsalis
Lineage: Eukaryota; Metazoa; Arthropoda; Insecta; Thysanoptera; Thripidae
Description: tRNA-Ala
Source: RNAcentral
AGAGUAGUAAUUUUUAAAAAAUAAUCAUUUUGCAUAUGGGAAAAACACUUAUGUGUCUACUUUGC